RNAcentral lists this long non-coding RNA (831 nucleotides) under Monodelphis domestica (gray short-tailed opossum). RNAcentral describes it as "lncRNA (ENSMODG00000039314.1)". Lineage: Eukaryota; Metazoa; Chordata; Mammalia; Didelphimorphia; Didelphidae. The record is from RNAcentral.
UACCUUAAAUUAAUAUAUAUCAGUUUUUUAAAGUGAUUUCCUUGUCACACCCUCUUGGAGUUUUGUCAGCAAGUCUCUCAGUGCAGUCUGGGGGGAGGGGUAUUGGAGCUUUUGCUUCCCUGUGCUCUGGAAGCUUUGAUUGGAUUAAAGUCCAGUAGUCUGUAAGGGAGGGGUAUUGGAGCUUGAGCUUCCCUGACCUCUGAAAACUGUUUAUGGGAUUAAGUCCUGCUGGGUUGGGCUGGAUGUGCCCUAAGACCAAAACCUCCUGGAAGGGAGAAGCAAUAUGGAGUGUCUCCACUGCUGCAACCAGGCUACUCGCUCUGAGCUCCCUCUCCAUCUCCUUUCCCACCGCCUGUGUUUGAUGCUUUGAGUUUGGCACAGCCCUGCUUGCAAGUUGAACAAACUGAGACAAGCAGAGAGUGGCUUACCCAGAAUUCCAUGGCUAGUUCUCCACAUUUCCUGUUGGAACCAUUACAACACAAGGCUGAGACAAUGAGGCCAAAGCCUCCACUUCACCAUCCCAGGGACAAAAAGAAUCAUCAGACUCUCAGAGUUGCAAGGGAUUUGCAGAGAUCAGCAUCCACAAAAGGUCAUCCAUUCUAUAUUUGAAGAUCAUUGGUCUUAUCAUUUAUAGGAACCCUUUUCAUCGGUCCCUUUCUAUGUUCUUGGUUUCCAUCCUCUUAUGGAAAUGAAUUCUUCACUGGGUUAAUGUCAUUAACUAAUGGAGGAAGUCAAGAUGAAAAUAUCCUGAGAGCCCCAUCUAAUUAUAGGCCCAGGCAUAGACAUUGGAGAAAAUGUGACUUCUUAAUAAAAAGAAAACUGCCUAGAACA